GGAAAAAGGCUGGACUCCCACCACUAGCUCCCAAAGCUAGCACUCUAAAGUUAAACUACCCUCU
Molecule: transfer RNA, 64 nt
Filed under: Engraulis encrasicolus (European anchovy)
Lineage: Eukaryota; Metazoa; Chordata; Actinopteri; Clupeiformes; Engraulidae
Description: partial tRNA-Pro
Source: RNAcentral